Molecule: long non-coding RNA, 782 nt
Filed under: Felis catus (domestic cat)
Lineage: Eukaryota; Metazoa; Chordata; Mammalia; Carnivora; Felidae
Description: lncRNA (ENSFCAG00000046522.2)
Source: RNAcentral
UAUAGACCUUACUACAUAAAAUACUUUAUAAGUGACUUAUUUUUCCUUUUUUUUUUUUUUUUUGGACAUGUUACUCUUUAGGAAACUGUGAUUACAUAGCAAAAAAUGAGAUGUUUCAAAAUAAUUUUAAAUCAAUAUUUCCCUGGCUCAACAACUGAGAAAUGGCAUCUAAUAUGCAUGCUGCUGAAGUGGGGCUGGCAGUCAAGUAAAGGUGGAGAAUAACUAUCCCGAGCUUUGGGUGACACAGACACAAAAGACAACGGUUGCCUCUGAUCUGUAGCAGAAGGUGGAUUAAAAUGGUCCUGGAAGGUUCUACUUGGACAUAAGAGUAAACCCACAGUGAACUCUGAUGACUGCAUAGAAAGUCUUGUCAAUCUUGGCCUGAAGAUAUGGAUCAGUGCUAAAAACAAAAAGCCACAUGAGCUCCUGACAGAAAAUAAUUCUAUCACAAAGGCAAGACUUUGACAGCACCACCUUCCAUUUUGCUUAAUCAUAAAAUCAUCAAUUCCAGAAAAACGGAGUCAAUCAACAUAUUAAAGUAGAAUCUGAAAAACAAAACAAAUGAACAGACACCGAAAACCAAAAAGACAGAUAUAGGAAGCAAACUGGUUGCCAGAGGGAAGAGGUAGGGGAAUGGGUGAAACAGGAAAAGGAGAUUAAGAGGUACAAACCUUUAGUUUUAAAUAAGUGAGUCACUGGGUUGAAAAGGACAGCAUAGGGAAUAUAGUCAACAAUCUUGUAAUAAUGUUGUAUAGUGACGGUGACAGAUGAUAACUACACUU